Molecule: long non-coding RNA, 1140 nt
Filed under: Triticum aestivum (bread wheat)
Lineage: Eukaryota; Viridiplantae; Streptophyta; Magnoliopsida; Poales; Poaceae
Description: long non-coding RNA (TAES_LNC012682)
Source: RNAcentral
AGUAAUUACGGAUUGCUAUUUUCAAUUCUAAGUAAUAAAGAAUAUAAGGUUACAAUUCAUCACCUGAAAAAACAUAUCUUUGUAGUCAUAGUAAUGUCUUCUCCAACUGACCAUACCCUUAAGCAUUUGAUGAAAGUGGAUAUAUCAUCAAGAGCCCUGCAAGCAAAUUUAUCUACAAUAGGAAACACACGAUGAUGAAAUAUCAGAUAUUCCAAAUCACUAUAUGAAAUGUUUAAUGUUUACUUCCCCUUGUAACGUUAGCUUAUCUAGCAAAUUUCUGUUAUUCUGUACAUCUGAUUGUUAAAUUUCAAAUAGUACAGGAACCAGAUAUCCAGAUAUAAUUAGAGUAGGGAUCGACACUAACUAAACCUCUUGACACGCUCAUUUGAAAGUCAAGUAUAUUUAUGUAGCAACGCCUUAUUACUCCUACAGAAGAUACCACUACUGCUGCUCAUAGAAGAGAUAUUACGCCAUCAGUUGAGUUUAGCUCAAUCUGCAGUUUUCAUUACAAUGCAUGAAUCUUAUUUAUCUUGCUUCAAAUGAACAAACAAGAGAGGAUGAAGUACCCAUCUUCCAGUCAUCUGGCAAGCAACAGUCCAGUGCAUAUUGCAGACCUUCUUAGCAAUCAUCAUCGAGUGCCAUUGUAUCUUGAUUAACACAAUUGUACAGGGAUCUUGAAUAGCACAUCAAACAGAGGCACGCCUAAUUGAAAUUACAUUGGUACAUUAGUGCACGGUAAACUGCACAGUACGAAUUAAAAUUUAAGUGCAAAGAUAGGAUAAUCCAGAGUAGACACGUAAUAAUGUCUAAGAACUAAGAUCAAAUGAGAAUUAAACCUGACGGACAAUACAACAAUGAAAAUUCAUUUCACAAUAACAUAGCUCAUACCAGUGGAGGCAUCGAACUGUGCCCAUAUAUUUUUGCGCAUCCACGCCCGCUCCUUGUUGUCUUGUUGCGGGCAUCCGCGCUGGGUCGCCCGCGAGCAUGCUGAGCUCGAGCGCAUCCUUCGGCACUUCAGCCAGCGGAUUCGAAGAAGGACGGGGAAGAACAGGGGCGUGGAAGUCUCGCACCUCCAACGGAGCCUAGCGCUGGGAUGCUCCCGUGCAUGCCGAGCUCGGGGACCUCCUCGGCCACUUGGGC